This 253-nucleotide ribosomal RNA is filed under the name uncultured bacterium. RNAcentral's name for it is "partial 16S ribosomal RNA". It matches the Rfam family "Bacterial small subunit ribosomal RNA", at positions 524 to 776 of the family's 1533-position model. The record is from RNAcentral.
UACGUAGGUGGCAAGCGUUGUCCGGAAUUAUUGGGCGUAAAGCGCGCGCAGGCGGUCGUUCAAGUCGCGUGUGAAAGCCCCCGGCUCAACUGGGGAGGGUCACGCGAUACUGAUCGACUCGAAGGCAGGAGAGGGAAGUGGAAUUCCCGGUGUAGUGGUGAAAUGCGUAGAUAUCGGGAGGAACACCAGUGGCGAAGGCGACUUCCUGGCCUGUUCUUGACGCUGAGGCGCGAAAGCUAGGGGAGCAAACGGG